RNAcentral lists this ribosomal RNA (109 nucleotides) under Neogale vison (American mink). The record is from RNAcentral. Lineage: Eukaryota; Metazoa; Chordata; Mammalia; Carnivora; Mustelidae.
GUCUACGGCCAUACCACCCUGAACGCGCCCGAUCUCGUCUGAUCUCGGAAGCUAAGCAGGGUCGGGCCUGGUUAGUACUUGGAUGGGAGAAUUAAAACAAUUAUAAAUG